RNAcentral lists this ribosomal RNA (492 nucleotides) under uncultured bacterium. Its description in RNAcentral is "partial 16S ribosomal RNA". It matches the Rfam family "Bacterial small subunit ribosomal RNA", at positions 29 to 507 of the family's 1533-position model. The record is from RNAcentral.
AGUGAACGCUGGCGGUAGGCCUAACACAUGCAGGUCGAACGGCAGCACAGUAAGAGCUUGCUCUUACGGGUGGCGAGUGGCGGACGGGUGAGGAAUACAUCGGAAUCUACUUUUUCGUGGGGGAUAACGUAGGGAAACUUACGCUAAUACCGCAUACGACCUACGGGUGAAGGCAGGGGAUCUUCGGAACUUGCGCGAUUGAAUGAGCCGAUGUCGGAUUAGCUAGUUGGCGGGGUAAAGGCCCACCAAGGCGACGAUCCGUAGCUGGUCUGAGAGGAUGAUCAGCCACACUGGAACUGAGACACGGUCCAGACUCCUACGGGAGGCAGCAGUGGGGAAUAUUGGACAAUGGGCGCAAGCCUGAUCCAGCCAUACCGCGUGGGUGAAGAAGGCCUUCGGGUUGUAAAGCCCUUUUGUUGGGAAAGAAAAGCAGCAGGUUAAUACCCCGCUGUUCUGACGGUACCCAAAGAAUAAGCACCGGCUAACUUCGUG